GACGAACGCUGGCGGCGUGCUUAACACAUGCAAGUCGAACGGAAAGGCCCUGCUUUUGUGGGGUGCUCGAGUGGCGAACGGGUGAGUAACACGUGAGUAACCUGCCCUUGACUUUGGGAUAACUUCAGGAAACUGGGGCUAAUACCGGAUAGGAGCUCCUGCUGCAUGGUGGGGGUUGGAAAGUUUCGGCGGUUGGGGAUGGACGCGCGGCUUAUGAGCUUGUUGGUGGGGUAGUGGCUUACCAAGGCUUUGACGGGUAGCCGGCCUGAGAGGGUGACCGGCCACAAUGGGACUGCGAUACGGCCCAGACUCCUACGGGAGGCAGCAGUGGGGAAUAUUGCACAAUGGGAGGAAGCCUGAUGCAGCAACGCCGCGUGCGGGAUGACGGCCUUCGGGUUGUAAACCGCUUUCGCCUGUGACGAAGCGUGAGUGACGGUAAUGGGUAAAGAAGCACCGGCUAACUACGUG
This 468-nucleotide ribosomal RNA is filed under the name uncultured bacterium. Its description in RNAcentral is "partial 16S ribosomal RNA". It matches the Rfam family "Bacterial small subunit ribosomal RNA", at positions 28 to 507 of the family's 1533-position model. The record is from RNAcentral.